GCUGAGUGUGGUGGUGCACUCCUGUAGUCCUAGCUACUCAGGAGGCUGAGACAGGAGGAUUGCUUGAGCCCAGGAGCUCUGGGCUGAAGUAUGCUAUGCCAAUCAGGUGUCCACACUAAGUUCGGUAUCAAUAUGGUGACCUCCCGGGAGUGGGAGACCACCAGGUUGCCUAAGGAGGGGUGAACCGGCUCAGGUCAGAAAUGAAGCAGGUCAAGGAUAUGGAAGUCUGACCUGAAGACAAUUUCAAUCUCUGACCAGAGACCGUGGACAGCUUGAUCUACCUGUAUU
RNAcentral lists this signal recognition particle RNA (288 nucleotides) under Castor canadensis (American beaver). RNAcentral's name for it is "Metazoan signal recognition particle RNA (ENSCCNG00000002377.1)". It matches the Rfam family "Metazoan signal recognition particle RNA". From Rfam's summary of the family: The signal recognition particle (SRP) is a universally conserved ribonucleoprotein. The record is from RNAcentral. Lineage: Eukaryota; Metazoa; Chordata; Mammalia; Rodentia; Castoridae.